Molecule: ribosomal RNA, 301 nt
Filed under: uncultured bacterium
Lineage: Bacteria
Description: partial 16S ribosomal RNA
Rfam family: Bacterial small subunit ribosomal RNA
Source: RNAcentral
CAGCAGCCGCGGGAAUACAGAGGGUGCAAGCGUUAAUCGGAAUUACUGGGCGUAAAGCGCGCGUAGGUGGUUCGCCAAGUUGGAUGUGAAAUCCCCGGGCUCAACCUGGGAAUUGCAGUGGAUACUGGGUCACUAGAGUGUGGUAGAGGAUAGUGGAAUUUCCGGUGUAGCAGUGAAAUGCGUAGAGAUCGGAAGGAACAUCUGUGGCGAAGGCGACUAUCUGGGCCAACACUGACACUGAGGCACGAAAGCGUGGGGAGCAAACAGGAUUAGAUACCCCAGUAGUCCCUGUCUCUUAUAC